Molecule: small nucleolar RNA, 107 nt
Organism: Dioscorea cayenensis subsp. rotundata (Guinea yam)
Lineage: Eukaryota; Viridiplantae; Streptophyta; Magnoliopsida; Dioscoreales; Dioscoreaceae
Source: RefSeq, a predicted model, not a curated record
AAUCUAUGUUGCGGGCACUUUCUCAGGAGCUCCUUCAACCUUUCUCACGUCUCAAAUAGAGACUCCAAUUCGAAUUAUACAAAGGAUGAGAUCUUAUUCCUAAACUU